GUUACUAAGCCUACAUGCAUGCCUCAUUUUCAAUAUGGACAUCUAAAUUGACUGUGAUAUGAUGCUCAUGCUUCACAUGCCUAUGCCAAAAAUCUUUGCAGCCAAAAUAGCUUUUAUCAUUUCUACUAAAGAUCUAGAUCCGUAAGAAUAAGGAUUAUCAGAUACACAUAAAUCCAUAAGAAUCCAUGAGCAUUGUCAAGAACUCAUACAAGAAAAAUCCAUAAGAAUUAUCAAGAAUCCAUACAAGAAAAAUCCAUAAGAAUUACCAAGGCAAAUGGAGAGGCGUUGACCCUGUUGUCUUCUUCAAAGAUGAAGCAAUUAUUAAGAGCAUAAAGGCAUUUUAUGGUAUCAAUGAGCAUUUUCCAUUAGAUGGUCACCUUUUAACAAGAAACAGCGAUACAAGCAAUGUAAAAAGGAGAAUAAACUAGAAGCCAUGUUGUAUCUUUAUUGCUUCCCCACAGAAAUAAGAGAAACAAACUCCACAUUACUCAUUGUUGGUUAUAUAGCGGCUAUAACUUUUCGAACAAACUACUGAAAGAAUUGAAUGAUCAUUGAUUUAAGAAGAAUUAAAACCUACGGCAGUCGCUCCUUUAAACAUGCAAUAUUAAUUUCUUCAAAUACUAAAAAUGAAAAUAAAAAACCAAAAAUAGAUUGCUGCAUCUAGACAAGUCUACAUGAUUGCCUCAUUUUAGAGUUCACAAACACAGAUUUUCUAGAUCGACCAUUUUCAAUAUUGACAUUUAAAUUGAUGGUGAUAUGAUGCUCAAGCUUCACAUGCCUAUGUCAAAAAUCUUUGCAGCCAAAAUAGCUUUUAUCAUUUCUACUAAAGAUCCGUAAGAAUAAGAAUUAUCAAAUCCAUAAGAAUCCAUGAGCAUUGUCAAGAAUUCAUACAAGAAAAAUCCAUAAUAUAUAAGAAUCCAUAAGAAUUAUCAAGAACAUUAUCAAGAAUCCAUACAAGAAAAAUCCAUAAGAAUUACCAAGAGCGUCUAAACCAAAAUUCAUAAAAUUAAACAAGAACAAAAUCCUCGAGGUUAUCUCAAAAGCAAAGUUCUCACUUUCC
Molecule: long non-coding RNA, 1060 nt
Filed under: Medicago truncatula (barrel medic)
Lineage: Eukaryota; Viridiplantae; Streptophyta; Magnoliopsida; Fabales; Fabaceae
Description: long non-coding RNA (MTRU_LNC001004)
Source: RNAcentral